CCUACGGGUGGCAGCAGUGGGGGAUAUUGCACAAUGGGGGGAACCCUGAUGCAGCGACGCCGCGUGGGUGAAGAAGCGCCUCGGCGCGUAAAGCCCUGUCAGCAGGGAAGAAAAUGACGGUACCUGAAGAAGAAGCCCCGGCUAACUACGUGCCAGCAGCCGCGGGAAGACGUAGGGGGCAAGCGUUAUCCGGAUUUACUGGGUGUAAAGGGGGCGCAGACGGCGCUGCAAGCCAGGAGUGAAAGCCCGGGGCCCAACCCCGGGACUGCUCUUGGAACUGCGUGGCUGGAGUGCAGGAGGGGCCGGCGGUCUUCCUGGUGUAGCGGUGCACUGCGUAGAUAUCAGGAGGCACCCCGGUGGCGAAGGCGGCCUGCUGGACUGCAACUGACGUUGCGGCCCGAACGCGUGGGGAGCAAACAGGAUUAGCUACCCGAGUAGUC
RNAcentral lists this ribosomal RNA (440 nucleotides) under uncultured bacterium. RNAcentral's name for it is "partial 16S ribosomal RNA". It matches the Rfam family "Bacterial small subunit ribosomal RNA", at positions 338 to 795 of the family's 1533-position model. The record is from RNAcentral.